GCAGCGAUGGCCGAGUGGUUAAGGUGCCAGGCUGCUAACUUGGUGGGUUUAUCCCGCGGGAGUUCGAACCUCCCUCGCUGCG
Molecule: non-coding RNA, 82 nt
Organism: Scenedesmus sp. NREL 46B-D3
Lineage: Eukaryota; Viridiplantae; Chlorophyta; Chlorophyceae; Sphaeropleales; Scenedesmaceae
Source: the annotation of a GenBank genome assembly